This 251-nucleotide ribosomal RNA is filed under the name uncultured bacterium. Its description in RNAcentral is "partial 16S ribosomal RNA". It matches the Rfam family "Bacterial small subunit ribosomal RNA", at positions 102 to 353 of the family's 1533-position model. The record is from RNAcentral.
ACGGGUGAGUAAUGUAUGGGGAUCUGCCCGAUANAGGGGGAGUAACUACUGGAAACGGUGGCUAAUACCGCAUAAUGUCUACGGACCAAAGCAGGGGCUCUUCGGACCUUGCACUAUCGGAUGAACCCAUAUGGGAUUAGCUAGUAGGUGGGGUAAAGGCUCACCUAGGCGACGAUCUCUAGCUGGUCUGAGAGGAUGAUCAGCCACACUGGGACUGAGACACGGCCCAAACUCCUACGGGAGGCAGCAUG